GAGNNUUGCACAAUGGGGGNAAACCCUGNUGCAGCGACGCCGCGUGAAGGAUGACGGUCUUCGGAUUGUAAACUUCUGUUAAGUGGGAAGAAAGAACUAUCUUUAAUAGGGAUAGGUGAUGACGGUACCACUAGAGAAAGCACCGGCUAAAUUUGUGCCAGCAGCCGCGGUAAUACAAGUGGUGCAAGCGUUAUUCGGAUUCAUUGGGCGUAAAGGGUACGUAGACGGCGUGCUAAGUUAGUUGUUAAAUCUCUCGGCCUAACCGAGAUCAAGCAAUUAAUACUGGCGUGCUAGAGGGUGAGAGAGAGGAGUGGAAUUCUCGGAGUAGCGGUAAAAUGCGUAGAUAUCGAGAGGAACACCGAUGGCGAAGGCAGCUCCUUGGCUCAUUCCUGACGUUGAGGUACGAAAGCGUGGGUAGCAAACAGGAUUAGAUACCCUGGUAGUCCACGCUGUAAACGAUGAUCACUAGACGUCUGUUUUGCUUAGCAAAAUAGGUGUCGCAGCUAACGCGUUAAGUGAUCCGCCUGGGGACUACGGUCGCAAGACUAAAACUCAAAAAAAUUGACGGA
Molecule: ribosomal RNA, 569 nt
Filed under: uncultured bacterium
Lineage: Bacteria
Description: bacterial SSU rRNA
Rfam family: Bacterial small subunit ribosomal RNA
Source: RNAcentral